RNAcentral lists this ribosomal RNA (460 nucleotides) under uncultured bacterium. RNAcentral describes it as "partial 16S ribosomal RNA". It matches the Rfam family "Bacterial small subunit ribosomal RNA", at positions 338 to 795 of the family's 1533-position model. The record is from RNAcentral.
CCUACGGGUGGCAGCAGUGAGGAAUAUUGGUCAAUGGACGGAAGUCUGAACCAGCCAUGCCGCGUGCAGGAAGACGGCUCUAUGAGUUGUAAACUGCUUUUGUACAAGGGUUAACCUGAAUACGUGACUUCAGAUGAAAGUCCUGUACGAAUACAGAUCGGCUAACUCCGUGCCAGCAGCCGCGGUAAUACGGAGGGUCCAAGCGUUAUCCGGAAUUAUUGGGUUUAAAGGGUGCGUAGGCGGAUUGAUAAGUUAGAGGUGAAAUGUCCGAGCUUAACUCGGGAACUGCCUCUAAUACUGUUGAUCUAGAGAGUAGAUGCGGUAGGCGGAAUGGAUGGUGUAGCGGUGAAAUGCUUAGAGAUCAUACAGAACACUGAUUGCGAAGGCAGCUUACCAAUCUAUAUCUGACGUUGAGGCACGAAAGCGUGGGGAGCAAACAGGAUUAGAUACCCUGGUAGUC